GUGCUCGCUUUGCACAUGUACUAAAAUUGGAACAAAACAGAGAAGAUUAGCAUGGCCCUUGUGCAAGGAUGACAUGCAAUUUCAUGAAGCGUUCCAUAUUUUU
This is a small nuclear RNA of Heterocephalus glaber (naked mole-rat), 103 nucleotides long. Lineage: Eukaryota; Metazoa; Chordata; Mammalia; Rodentia; Bathyergidae. The record is from Ensembl.